This 141-nucleotide small nuclear RNA is filed under the name Cebus imitator (Panamanian white-faced capuchin). RNAcentral's name for it is "U4 spliceosomal RNA (ENSCCAG00000007753.1)". It matches the Rfam family "U4 spliceosomal RNA". From Rfam's summary of the family: U4 small nuclear RNA (U4 snRNA) is a component of the major U2-dependent spliceosome. The structure of U4 snRNA from yeast and human has been reported. U4 snRNA presents a k-turn RNA motif in the 5p-SL related to recognition of Snu13 protein. The record is from Rfam by way of RNAcentral. Lineage: Eukaryota; Metazoa; Chordata; Mammalia; Primates; Cebidae.
AGCUUUGUGCAGUGGCAGUGUCAUAGCCAAUGAGGUUUAUCUGAGGCACGAUUAUUGCUAACUGAAAACUUUUCCCAAUACCCCACCAUGACGACUUGAAAUAUAGUCAGUGUUGGCAAUUUUUGGCUGUCUCUAAGGGGA